RNAcentral lists this non-coding RNA (30 nucleotides) under Mus musculus (house mouse). The record is from RNAcentral. Lineage: Eukaryota; Metazoa; Chordata; Mammalia; Rodentia; Muridae.
UGAAAAGUAACGCCUAGGUCAGCAAGAAGU